CGGGUGAGUAACGCGUAGGAACCUGUCGCACAGAGGGGGAUAACGCUGGGAAACCGGCGCUAAUACCGCAUGUGGUUCUUGGAGGGGACUUCAAGAAAGAAAGCAGCAAUGCGCUGUGUGAGGGGCCUGCGUCCGAUUAGCUAGUUGGUGGGGUAAAGGCCUACCAAGGCAUCGAUCGGUAGCUGGUCUGAGAGGACGGUCAGCCACACUGGGACUGAGAUACGGCCCAG
This 230-nucleotide ribosomal RNA is filed under the name uncultured bacterium. RNAcentral describes it as "partial 16S ribosomal RNA". It matches the Rfam family "Bacterial small subunit ribosomal RNA", at positions 103 to 334 of the family's 1533-position model. The record is from RNAcentral.